Molecule: long non-coding RNA, 1187 nt
Organism: Daphnia carinata
Lineage: Eukaryota; Metazoa; Arthropoda; Branchiopoda; Diplostraca; Daphniidae
Exons: 5
Source: RefSeq, a predicted model, not a curated record
UUGUGGGAAGAUAAAGGAUGGUUUCAUCCUUCUUCCAAGUACUUGACUUUGCCCAAGGUCUAUUUAGCAAUCUAUUUUUAGCUGCUGUCUUACAUUAAAAUGCAGUACAACGUAGGCGAUCUAGGAAUGGUUGAGGAUUUAUUUGUGCAAAGGCCUUAAACGCCCCUUUUAUGGCCAUAUGUUGAAGGGUUUGAUAGUAGUGCAAGUUUGAGGAACACUUUUGGGGAUGGUUGAUUCCGUUGGGAAGGCAUUCCUCCGGAGUAGAAAUGCACCAAAUUUACACUCCAAUGUGAAUGCACUUUUAUCUUUAUGCAUGGUCUAUGCAGGAUACUACUGGACGGUAUCUAUUUUUACGGGAGGUUGAAAAUUUAACUUUGUUUCUUGGUAGGUCGUUGUUUCCAUGGCAGAUUAAUCCCCAUAGUUGAUCGAUUACUCUAGCAACAGUACCAUAGACGAUAAGAGUGUGGUAUUCGUUUUGACCUCGACCGAUAUCUCUUCGCAAACUUCCAGGUUUUUGGGUAAUCUGUUGCUGGCCAAGAAUAUCGCAGCGUUGUUAACUAGAUUUACGACGUUAAUACAUCAUAUUUAUUGCAAGGAAAGUCAUCGUUCCACGGGGGACCAAACCUGAGGGACACAAUGAAACUUUCCUGUUUAAGUGUUAGGUAUACCAAAUUCUAUUUAUUAGAAAGUUGUACAGUUUUCGGUGUCACCGUGGAUUCAGCUGUAUCGCUUUAAUACUCUGCAGCCAGUGACUAUUCAUUAAAAUUCUACAACAAAGAAGCAACUGGCAAAUUAGACGGACAGUGCUGUUAAAUGAAUGGAUAUUUGUUCAAUAUUGGAAGCUACCCGGUUAACUUGAGUAUCAGCAUCAACAAGAGCACAGAAUAACAUUUCGGAGUUACCUUCCUCGGAUCAAUUUCCAUGCAGAUGAUCGAGAAUGGUAUUCCACAUUUCAUAGGUGACACAAAACUGAUUCGCUAUUCUUCGUCGAAGCUGUUCGAAUGUAGUGGUCGUUUCACAGUCUAACGUGAAAUGAAACGGUCAGGACAAACACGGAGGAGUAUUUAGGCCGAGGUGUUCGCUCCAAAUCUCCAAAGUUCCUGUGGGGUAAGUUGCGAUUUGAUAAUUCGUUGGUUUCUCAGAAUUACAGUAAACCCACAAUCAAGAUUUCUAGCUGAAGCUGAGAU